GAAUUCACUAGUGAUUCAGGCCUAACACAUGCAAGUCGAGCGGUAGAGAGAAGCUUGCUUCUCUUGAGAGCGGCGGACGGGUGAGUAAUGCCUAGGAAUCUGCCUGGUAGUGGGGGAUAACGUUCGGAAACGGACGCUAAUACCGCAUACGUCCUACGGGAGAAAGCAGGGGACCUUCGGGCCUUGCGCUAUCAGAUGAGCCUAGGUCGGAUUAGCUAGUUGGUGAGGUAAUGGCUCACCAAGGCGACGAUCCGUAACUGGUCUGAGAGGAUGAUCAGUCACACUGGAACUGAGACACGGUCCAGACUCCUACGGGAGGCAGCAGUGGGGAAUAUUGGACAAUGGGCGAAAGCCUGAUCCAUCAAGGGCGCGUGUGUGAAGAAGGUCUUCGGAUG
Molecule: ribosomal RNA, 395 nt
Filed under: uncultured bacterium
Lineage: Bacteria
Description: bacterial SSU rRNA
Rfam family: Bacterial small subunit ribosomal RNA
Source: RNAcentral